AUGCUACUUCAAACAGAGCUCUGGGAGCUUUAGAUUGGUCCCCUCCUUUUUGCAUUUCCUUAUUCAUAUCCAAUCGUCUCAAAAUGACAUUAAGGAUUUGGUGCCAAUUCAGGAC
Molecule: long non-coding RNA, 115 nt
Organism: Sander lucioperca (pikeperch)
Lineage: Eukaryota; Metazoa; Chordata; Actinopteri; Perciformes; Percidae
Exons: 3
Source: RefSeq, a predicted model, not a curated record